CUGAUGCAGCCAUGCCGCGUGUGUGAAGAAGGCCUUCGGGUUGUAAAGCUCUUUCAGUYGGGAGGAAAGGGUGKGUAKGUUAAUACCUGCUACCUGUGACGUUACCGACAGAAGAAGCACCGGCUAACUCCGUGCCAGCAGCCGCGGUAAU
Molecule: ribosomal RNA, 151 nt
Filed under: uncultured bacterium
Lineage: Bacteria
Description: partial 16S ribosomal RNA
Rfam family: Bacterial small subunit ribosomal RNA
Source: RNAcentral